Molecule: non-coding RNA, 5176 nt
Organism: Sus scrofa (pig)
Lineage: Eukaryota; Metazoa; Chordata; Mammalia; Artiodactyla; Suidae
Source: RefSeq, a predicted model, not a curated record
AUUUUGUAGAAAGCUGAGGGUAGGGACAAUUUACAAAUUUACAGAGGCCUGUGCAGAAUGCAAGGAACCAGUAAGGAAAGUAGAGGCACCCAGGAAACCAUUAUCCUCCAGGUCUUAGGAACUACAUUUCCCAACUGUGCUGAGGGUUGGAGCCCAAGAAGAGGGGCUGCCCAAUAGGAGCUCUAGUUUGAGAAGCAUGUAGACAAUAGCAGAAUGAUGCUGCUGAAGGAAAUAGAGGCAGAGGAAGAGAGCCUUUGAUCUCUCCUCUUCUGGCCUCCAGUCUCCUGCUGGUGCCUGCUACUGACCCACCGACUGGAAACCAGAGGCAACACGGUUGCAGUGAUGCAACAUAUAGGGGUCGAGCCCUGGGCCCCAGCUUGGGGCCUCAGGGGAGAUGCAUCUGGGGAGGGAAGAUCAAACAGAAAAUCAGCCCAAUGGACUGGAUGAUGUCAUAUUACAGGGAGGCGAGGAAAUAACGGGAUGUCCUCUUUUUCUGUAAUACCUUGAUACUUGAAAGGAGUUCUGCUAUAUUGAUUUGAAGUAAAAGAAAAAAAAUCUUACCAAACUUUGGGCAAUUUACUGCUAGCUUAAAGGUGAGGGCAGAUAGCAAAAAUGUCCCCACAUAUCCAGCCACUCUAUUCUGGGGUAGAAAAGCAGCCGAAUGUGGGAAUUUUCACUCCAGUCUUGCUUUCCCUGCCUCUCAUUGUUGAGCGGUAAUCCCUCUUGUUUCUAUUAAGAUCGUAUUUGCUCCUUGGGCCUCACAGCUGUUGGCAUCCAGUUCUUCCUCUUACCACCUCCCAGGUCACCUCAGUUCUUUCUAAGGGCUUUUCCUUCCCGGUGUAAAGACCAAGCUUGCCUAUUUGGGAAAGCUGACAGCUUAGCUCUCUGCUCCUGUGCAUAGCUAGUUACCUAAUGGACUCUUAACAUAUGGGGUCCACUGGUCCCCUCUUCAGCCUGAAACUGCACACCUACCUUGGAAGGGAACAAAAACAGCGCUACAGGUUGUGUCCACAGGGAGGUAGGCCUCACAAUAGGCACACGAGGCUUGCGAUGCUGGAGGAAGCCAGCAGGGGCGCUCUCAGCACAUGCUCCUCUUUGGGUCCCUUUCUACCCUGGGUCCCAAAUCCCCUUCCCUGUGGCAUUCACUCGUCUCCUUAGGCAGAAAGUCGUCAUAAACAGCGGGAAAAGCAUGUUCUCAGGGGAUUUGCUAGGGGCCGCCUUUUAUCUGAGGUCCACGGUUCCCCCCAACCUGGUGGCCCACCCCCAUUUCUUCUCUGUGUCCCUCAUUCUCAUUUUCCCACCAAAGCGAGAUGACAAUGUAAGGGGGAGGUAGAAGGGAUUCUUUGGUUUCCCCGGGUUCUUAAAGUACUUCUAGGGGGAAGAGUUUCAGAAUAAGAAUACAGCUGACCCCAAUCACUUUUGAACUUUGUAGUCACUAACUUGUGGCGACUUGUGGGAUCUGGGGUGUACAACUGCAUUUGUUGAGGAAUUAUUUUGCUCUGCAGCCAUCUAGAAAGAAUAGGGGUGGGGGAGGGGUUCUUAUGGAGCAAGAGCAGAGGUGCCAGCAGGGGUGAGGCUGAGGGGGUGCUUUAGGGGGAGCUGAGCAGCUGGAUGAAGUUGUGGUUGACUGAAAAGGACAUGGGAAGACCUCAGGGAGGGCCAGGUGCUGGAGUCUGUGUCUGAGCCUCCUUGUGUCGGGGUGGGGGUGGGAUGGAGCAAAAGAACUUGAGCCCCAGCCUGCAAAGAGUUUUCCUUCCUACUUCUUCCAGGGAUUGAGAGUCAAGGGGGUGCCUGCAGGGGGUGACCCCAAGAGACUAGGGAGUUGCUAGCUACCUUAAUACAGCUACUCUGUUACGUUGGGGCUUCUUUAAGGGAAGGGGGUAUGCUGUCUUCGGAACUCAGCCCCAGCUGAUUUACCAAACCCAAUGUAAGUGUAGGUGCUAGAGGAAUGGUUGUUGAGUGAAGGAAGAAUGGAGGCAGUUGAUGUAUUGGGUUAACUUUGUUUAAACACUUUAAACUUUUAUUGUGCUCACAGGCUGGCUUGUGAAGCAGGUAGUUGAGCUGUAUUUUCUAGAUGCUGAAUGGAAGUAGGUGCCACAGUCAAGUCAUCCCCCAUGCUCAACAUUCCCCCACACUAAAAAGUAACCUGGGAACUCAGUGUAGGGUCCAGGCCAGCUUGCCAAGCACCAAGCUCCAAAUACAUGUCCAUCUCCUAGUAAACCUGUGCCUGAGAAAAACCCACUAAGGGACUAUGAAUCUGACCUUUCUUUUUAUUCAGCUCUGAAGUCCAAGGCUAUUAAACCAGACCCAGGGCUCUAGACAGGGCUGUGCCCUGGGUGUUUGGGGCGUAUGCUUUAGCAGGCAGAGCCUUCCAGGCCACAGUGUUUGUCCAAAAUCAAUCUCCUUCUAUUCGGGGGAUAAUUGGGAGUAACUAUCCCCAUGCUAGAACUGGAGAUUUCCAGGGCCUCAAAAGUUAAUUAACAAUAUGCUGAGUAUCAAGUACAUUGCCAUAAAAACCAGUGGCCCUGCUGCCUACUCCAUCUCAGACGGCUCCAUGACUCAGAGCACUCCUGGGCAGCUUUGAAUGGGUCUCAAGAGCAUCUCCUUUCCUUGGUGUCUGAAGACAGGAGGGAGGCUCUUUCUGGGUGGUAAUUGCCUUGACCUUGAGCCUAGCAAAAACCGGCAAGAAAAAUGCUAUUUUUGUAACCCUGGAGUUUGAGGUUUUGAGAAGAGUGGAAGCAAAGCCAGGACACCUAGAGAUGGAGUAAAACAUGGUUUCACAACUGGAUUGGGAGGUUGAAUGAUUUCAGAAGACCCAGCAGAGAAUCCUGUGGCUUCCAAGAAAAGCCCAGUCCUAGUGAGUAGGCACAAAGCCACAGAGGGGUUUAUUGUGGUGGAUCAGAAUGGAACCUGGAGCCUCAGGACCCAUAGCUGAGCUCCUUCCAGUUGUAUGAUCCUGGCCUCCCUGAGCCUUCAUUUGCUCGUCAUUCAAAUGGAGAUAAUCGUAGUCAGCAUGAUAUAGGUUGUGAGGAUUAAGUACAAUAGCAUAGUGCCUAGUAGAUAAGUGUCCCACAGCUCACUUUCUUCCUCAACACUCAGUAGGAAGCCAAUGUGAAGUCAAUGAUUGGGCAAGAAACACUUUCGGAACAUUUGUAAUAACACAUCUUCCUCUUUUCCCACCACUUAUCUCAAAUUCCACAGAGACAGACAAAUAAACUAAGUUGCAACUGGACGAUUGAUCCCUUUACAGAUGUGCCACAAAAUUCUUCUCAGAAUCCCAGUCCUUGAGCAGUACACCAGGCCACACCAAGAUACAGCCAGUGGCUACUCAAAAAUCUUGCAUUAAAAUCCUGUGUUUACAAGAUGGGCCAAGCAUGAUGAUAAGCCCUGCCCUCAGGAAGGUUGUAGUCUAUGUUGGGAGACAGGGUCAAACACACAAUGUUGGCACUAGGACAUGGGUUCUAACACAGUUGUACUUGACCUAGCCUGUCUCACACUUAGGUGGCAAGCUUGUUAAAAUGCAAAUCCUGGACUCCAUCCCCACUGAUUCUAAUUUUAUAGGUCAAGGAUCAGGCCCAUGAACUUAUAUAUUUAACAAAGUCCCAGGGGAAAUGGCAGUCCUUUGAGGAGCACUGUUAUAAUAGGAAUCGAAUGUUACAGGGUUUUCUACAGUGGAGAACGAAUAAUAUGUAUUUUUUUGAGGGGGGAGGUGCUCUCUGAGGUGUUCAUGGAGGAAGUAGUAUUUAAGUAAAGUCUAGAAGUUGGGAUAGGCCUUCAGGAAGCUGCAAAUAGAGCAAGUGUUUCCUUGGAAUAAAAAAUACUAAAGAGUCAGGGACAAUGCAGAGUACAUUCAGCAAGCUGCAAAAUACCCGGGUUUGGAGAAGGAAGGGUGAUAGAGGAAAAUGUUAGACAUUGGUUUCUGGAAGACCCUGGUGUUUGGGCUGAGCAUCCUUAGACUUACUCUGUAAACAGCGGGAGGCUGCCAAAAGUUUUUGAGGAUGAGAAUAAUGUUAUCAAUUGCUGACCAGAUGCUUUAGCUCUGAGUGAGAGACAGAUUAGAGGAGGUGGUGAGAAAUGAGAAAACUAGUUGGAGGGUUGACUAUUUAAAUUCUGAGUGAUAGGGGCUCAUCUGGAAGCCUAAACUAGGCCAGUGGGUGUUUAGUGGUGACAGGAAGCCUAAAUCUGACCAUGAAAGACAAAGUGGAGGGAAUAUCAGGAUCAUAAAAUUAGAUUGCAUGUGGUUGAUGAGAGAGAGAAAUAAGUCAAAGAUGCUCCUAAGGAAUGGAGCCUGUGUACCAAAUCCAGCAGAAGACUUAGGAGCUUGAGGAAGAAGCAAGAUCAAACAAGGAAGAUAAUGACUUUGGUUUGUACCUAUUGCAUUUGAUGUUAUCUAGUAGUUUGCAACACAAGCCUGCUUUCAGUCAAGAGGCUGGGUCUGAGCAUUUAUAUCUGAGUGCAUCACAUGUAGAAGAUGGGGGCAACUGGGAGAGUAAAUGACUUUAUCAAGGGGAAGGAUGGACCCAGAACCUUAGCAAAUGUCUCCGUUAAGUGAUUGGUGGAAGAAGAGCUAGCAAGAACGACUCAGAGACUGUGGUCUGGGAGGCUCUGGGGAGGUAGUUGAAUGCUGUCAGUGGAAUCACCACAAGACAAGAUUUUAGGGAGAGAGUGGUUCAUAGUGUGAACUGCUGGAGAAGCUGAGAGGGAGAGCUCAUUGGAGGUGUUGUGUGCACUUUUCAAGGUGGGGCAGGAUCCAGGCUGCAGAGAGUCGAGGAAAAACAGGAUCUGGGGACCAGAGUGAGUGUGGAAGCCAAGUGGAAGGAGCCAGUGGAAAGGGGAAGAUUAAAGAGAUGUCAGGAGAAGGAAAAUGGCUGAACAUGAUCAUAAAACAAGUGGGAUCCCAACUUCUCCUCAGUGACAAAUUUGUAAAACUGUUACAACACGUAUAGGAGUUUGUCUCCUAUUGUCUUUAAUUUGUGUUUUGGCCUUUAGAAAUAUUGAUGAAAAUUAGGAAAAAUGUAGAGUUAGCGAAGUAUGACAAGCUGUGCUUUAAAGUUAGAAAUGGGGCACAGGAGAGACAUCACGAGAUGUUUGUUUUCAGUGCAAUAGCCUUGCUAACAUGUCUUCUAUUUUCUGAUCUUAGUUGAUCUUUAGGUCACAGCAAUAAAAAUGCUAUCUC